GAAACCGGAUUAGAUACCCGGGUAGUCCUAGGUGUAAACGCUGUGGACUUGGUGUUGGGGAUUCUCCGAGGAUUCUCAGUGCCGAAAGCGAAGGUGAUAAGUCCACUGCCUGGGGAGUACGGUCGCAAGGCUGAAACUUAAAGGAAUUGGCGGGGGAGCACCGCAACCUGAGGAUUGUGCGGUUUAAUCGGAUUCAACGCCGGAAAACUCACCAGUGCCGACGGACAAAUGAAAGCCAGUUUAAUGAGCUUGCUGGAUUGUUCGAGAGGUAGUGCAUGGCCGUCGUCAGUUCGUACCGUAAGGCGUUCUGUUAAGUCAGAUAACGAACGAGACCCUCAUCGCUAUUUGCUAAGGUCAGUCCGCUGAUCACAGGACUAUAGCGAGACCGCUGGCGCUAAGUCAGAGGAAGGCGAGGGCAACGGUAGGUCAGUAUGCUCCGAAUGCACUGGGCUACACGCGCAAUACAAAGGACGGGACAAUGGGCCGCUGCGCCGAGAGGCAUGUGGCUAUCUCGAAACCCGUUCGUAGUUCGGAUUGAGGGCUGUAACUCGCCCUCAUGAAGCUGGAUUAGGUAGUAAUCGCGUCUCAAAAAGGCGCGGUGAAUAUGCCCCUGCUCCUUGCACACACCGCCCGUCAAACCAUCUUAGUUGGGGGNGGGUGAGGCUGCCUUUUAGUGGGGUAUUCGAGCCUGCCUUCGACAAGGAGGGUUAAGUCGUAACAAGGUAGCC
Molecule: ribosomal RNA, 728 nt
Filed under: uncultured archaeon
Lineage: Archaea
Description: bacterial SSU rRNA
Rfam family: Archaeal small subunit ribosomal RNA
Source: RNAcentral